GUUUCAUUUAAAUUUAUUAUAGAAUUUUAUUUUUUAGUUAAAAAGCUAAAAUAAUUUCAAAAGACGAGAAGACCCUAUAAAUCUUGAUUAUUUAAUAAUUUUAAAUUUAUUUAGAUUUUUUUUAUUUUUAAUUAUUAAAUAAUUUUAUUGGGGUGAUAUUAAAAUUUAAUAAACUUUUAAUUUAUACAUUUCAUUUAUUUAUGAAUUUAUGAUCCAUUUAUAAUGAUUAAAAAAUUAAGUUACUUUAGGGAUAACAGCGUAAUUUUUUUGGAGAGUUCUUAUCGAUAAAAAAGUUUGCGACCUCGAUGUUGGAUUAAGAUUCAUAUUUAAAUGUAGAAGUUUAAAUAUAAAGUCUGUUCGACUUUUUAUUCUUACAUGAUCUGAGUUCAAACCGGUGUAAGCCAGGUUGGUUUCUAUCUUUGAAUCAUAAAAAUAUUUUAGUACGAAAGGAAUAAAUAUUUAUUUUAUAAAAAUUUAUUUAUGAAU
Molecule: ribosomal RNA, 486 nt
Filed under: Megalabops sp. KCADI071-14
Lineage: Eukaryota; Metazoa; Arthropoda; Insecta; Diptera; Diopsidae
Description: partial 16S ribosomal RNA
Rfam family: Bacterial large subunit ribosomal RNA (bases 250-408)
Source: RNAcentral